Non-coding RNA from Chryseobacterium gambrini, 61 nucleotides. The record is from Rfam. NCBI's taxonomy places the organism in Bacteria, Pseudomonadati, Bacteroidota, Flavobacteriia, Flavobacteriales, Weeksellaceae.
ACGAACGAGGAAAAAUUUGACCUGAUUGCAACCUCUAUAAAAAUAUGCUAAAACAGUAUUC